GGCAGCAGGCGCGCAAAUUACCCACUCCCGGCACGGGGAGGUAGUGACGAAAAAUAACGAUACGGGACUCAUCCGAGGCCCCGUAAUCGGAAUGAGUACACUCUAAACCCUUUAACGAGGAUCAAUUGGAGGGCAAGUCUGGUGCCAGCAGCCGCGGUAAUUCCAGCUCCAAUAGCGUAUAUUAAAGUUGUUGCGGUUAAAAAGCUCGUAGUCGAAUUUGUGUUUCGCGCCGCCGGUUCAUCGCUCGCGGUGUUCAACUGGCGUGUCGCGGAACGUCCUGCCGGUGGGACCUGGCGUUCGCGUCAGGCCCCAACUUUAAAUCCUGCCGCGGUGCUCUUCACUGAGUGUCGAGGUAGGCCGGCACGUUUACUUUGAACAAAUUAGAGUGCUCAAAGCAGGCUAAAAUUUCGCCUGAAUAUUCUGUGCAUGGAAUAAUGGAAUAGGACCUCGGUUCUAUUUUGUUGGUUUUCGGAACCCCGAGGUAAUGAUUAAUAGGAACGGAUGGGGGCAUUCGUAUUGCGACGUUAGAGGUGAAAUUCUUGGAUCGUCGCAAGACGGACAGAAGCGAAAGCAUUUGCCAAAAACGUUUUCAUUGAUCAAGAACGAAAGUUAGAGGUUCGAAGGCGAUCAGAUACCGCCCUAGUUCUAACCAUAAACGAUGCCAGCUAGCGAUCCGCCGACGUUCCUCCGAUGACUCGGCGGGCAGCUUCCGGGAAACCAAAGCUUUUGGGUUCCGGGGGAAGUAUGGUUGCAAAGCUGAAACUUAAAGGAAUUGACGGAAGGGCACCACCAGGAGUGGAGCCUGCGGCUUAAUUUGACUCAACACGGGAAACCUCACCAGGCCCGGACACCGGAAGGAUUGACAGAUUGAGAGCUCUUUCUUGAUUCGGUGGGUGGUGGUGCAUGGCCGUUCUUAGUUGGUGGAGCGAUUUGUCUGGUUAAUUCCGAUAACGAACGAGACUCUAGCCUGCUAACUAGGCGUAUUUUCGACAUCCGAAAGGCCCGGCUGCCGUUGGCGCUCGCGUCGCGGUUGUUCGCGGUUUUUGCUGUCGGCGUACAACAUAUUCUUCUUAGAGGGACAGGCGGCUUCUAGCCGCACGAGAUUGAGCAAUAACAGGUCUGUGAUGCCCUUAGAUGUUCUGGGCCGCACGCGCGCUACACUGAAGGAAUCAGCGUGUCCUCCCUGUCCGAGAGGACCGGGUAACCCGCUGAACCUCCUUCGUGCUAGGGAUUGGGGCUUGCAAUUGUUCCCCAUGAACGAGGAAUUCCCAGUAAGCGCGAGUCAUAAGCUCGCGUUGAUUACGUCCCUGCCCUUUGUACACACCGCCCGUCGCUACUACCGAUUGAAUGAUUUAGUGAGGUCUUCGGAUCGGUACGCGGCAGCGUUCGCGCGUUGCCGAUGUUGCUGAAAAGAUGACCAAA
RNAcentral lists this ribosomal RNA (1422 nucleotides) under Moraphilus sp. SLE0128. RNAcentral's name for it is "SSU rRNA". It matches the Rfam family "Eukaryotic small subunit ribosomal RNA", at positions 424 to 1763 of the family's 1831-position model. Lineage: Eukaryota; Metazoa; Arthropoda; Insecta; Coleoptera; Hydrophilidae. The record is from RNAcentral.